UCCUGAUCUCGGGCCCAGGCACUGAACAGUGACCUUCACCCUCAUGGUCCCCUCCCCCACAGGAAGAUGUCACCUGCUUCACCUGUGCUCUGAACUGCCACAGCUCCCCUUCCAGAUUCUGUCCCACUGUGCUGCCCGGACAGACAUCUUUGUUCUUUUUAACUUAAAGACUUAGAACUGGAUUGUUCAGAAAAGGAAGGGCAGAGAAAAGAAAAAAGAAAUGGAAGGGGAGGCAAGGGGAAGUACCAGGGAUUGAACUCAUGACUGCCUGCUUGCAAGGAAACACAGGGACACAGAAGCAGGUUAAAUAACAUCAUGGAGCUGGGUGUAACCAAUCACAAGUAUAGAAUGUGGAAAAGUCCACCAAAUUUUGACUUAGUUUCUUCAACAAACUAAUUGCAAAGUAAACAAAGUGAGGGGUGGUGGUGACUACAGAUUUAAAAAGAUA
Cavia porcellus (domestic guinea pig) is the source of this 448-nucleotide long non-coding RNA. RefSeq lists it as uncharacterized. The record is from RefSeq and is a predicted model, not a curated record. The transcript has 3 exons. NCBI's taxonomy places the organism in Eukaryota, Metazoa, Chordata, Mammalia, Rodentia, Caviidae.